Molecule: non-coding RNA, 146 nt
Organism: Pan troglodytes (chimpanzee)
Lineage: Eukaryota; Metazoa; Chordata; Mammalia; Primates; Hominidae
Rfam family: Metazoan signal recognition particle RNA
About the family: The signal recognition particle (SRP) is a universally conserved ribonucleoprotein. It is involved in the co-translational targeting of proteins to membranes. The eukaryotic SRP consists of a 300-nucleotide 7S RNA and six proteins: SRPs 72, 68, 54, 19, 14, and 9.
Source: Rfam
GCAGGGCAUGGUGGUGCAUGCCUGUAGUCCCAGCUACUUGGGAGGCUGAGGUGGGAGGAUUGCUUGAGGCCAGGAGGCCGAGGCUGUAGUGAGCUGUGACUGCCACUACUCUCUAGCCUGGACGACAGAGCGAGACCCUGUCUCAA